Molecule: long non-coding RNA, 1740 nt
Organism: Lontra canadensis (Northern American river otter)
Lineage: Eukaryota; Metazoa; Chordata; Mammalia; Carnivora; Mustelidae
Exons: 3
Source: RefSeq, a predicted model, not a curated record
UGACCCCCCCACCUCCUCUGCCCCCUUUGGUGCCUGGUGUUUGCCUUGUGGGGGUGGGGAUCCAUCCCUUCCCAGGCCUCCCCCAACCCCAGCCCAUCUGGGCCUCUGGGACAGGAGAGGGUGUCCGUGUCCGCCUGUGUUUGCAUCCCUGCCCCCGGGGCCCCUCCUGCUGGGGUGGCAUCAGCUGUUUGGGGAGGUGGGCAGGCGGGGCCUCCUUAUCCCUGACCUCUUGGAACCUUGGGGUGCAACCAGGGGCCCCACUGAGCCAGGCCUGACCCCCUUCGCUCCAUCCUGGGUUGGAAGGACUGUCUGGACCAUCUCAUCCUUGGCACCUUGUCUGUCAGCAGUGGCUGAUUUAUCUGUCCAGAGCUGACUUCCAACCCGAGUCUGAGUGAUGGAGCCCGUGGGAGCAGCUGGAAGAAGAGCGUGCAGAGGCGGCUCAGCUCCUUGUCUUAGGAACCGGAAGCCACACCUGAGUCCACGUUCUAGUCAGCAACCUGAAAAAGCCACUAGAGCCGUCCAGCCGCACUGGCUAGCUCCCUCGUUCCCUCACGAAAGUGCCCUGGACCGUGAACUCGGCCCUCACUGGUCUAAAUCCCUUAGACUGGAGCUUCCCCACCACUCCCGGGGUUUGCAAAUCUUGCCAUUGCUCUGGUGUAGAGGCUAUCCCCUGGGUCCUCAUGGGCGGCUGUGCCCUGGAGCCUGCAGAGAUGGAAGCCCCAGGCCUCCGGGGGUCUGGUGAGAGCAGGGGUGCUUGUGGUGAGUCUGAGGAAGGGCAUCGGCCCAGGGGAGGGGAGCACAGCCGUCCCAGCACAGGCGGGCUCCUGCUCUCCUCAGUCACUGGGCACAGACACUCGAGUGACUAGGGGGUCCAAGAUCAUGUUUCCACAAGGUCCAACCAGGGUACCCCAUCCCAAAUUUCAGGGUCCCUCUGUACCAGGCGGCACCCUCACCUGCACGUGAGAAACUUAUCAAGACUGUGGAUUCAACCACUACCACUCAGCAACCUGCAAACUUAAAUGCCUCGUUUUCAGCGCUUCAAGGAUCUUGGGGGCAGCACAGAAGCUCUCCCCCUCGAAGAAGGCAGCCCGAGCUGAGCCAACAGCCCUGACCCUGUCCUUGUCUGUGGGUGCUCAAGGGCACUCCGCGGAAGCUUCCAGCACCUAUCUUUAGAACUGGCGUUACUGGCACAGUGGUCAGGUGCAGCGGCUGCGGGGCUCCCAGGCACGUGCCUUAGCGGGCAUCCUGGCCAACGGCCAACCCCUGGCCAGAGCUGGACCGACCCCAAUCCUGUCUUUGUGAGUCUGUCUCCUGGAACACUCCGGAGGCCAGUGCUGGAUCCGUGUGGAUCCCGUCAGGAGAGAAAAACCGCACAGUGACUCGAACAGGCGCCCUCUACCGACAAACUUCAGCACGUCACUCGGCCGAGAAAAACGGUUUCAAAGGCCCAUGGUCUGUUUUCACGGAGCAAACAGGAAAGCUGGAUUUGGAGCGGAGUCAGUGAGUGGAUAAGCGGGAACACCGGGGGCCGUGGGGCACGCCGGGCGUCAGCGAGUGAGUCCAGGGAUGGCGAGCUGGUGGAGAGCUGAGUGGUGUCCCACAGGGAACCGGGCCGGUGGUGCCCCUGUGUCAGAGGGGAUCCCGGCAGGGAGCAGCAAUGUCUUUAAACAAGGCUAUGCUGAGAAGACGCUCGGGACAAGUCAAGAGCAGGGUUUCCCGACAUGGAAGGAACCGGGUGUG